AUUGUUCUAACUUAGUAGUCGCGUUUUCCAUUGACCCUCAAAUUGUGUGAAUAUAACCUGCGCAUAAAUAUUUGCCUGAUGGCAAAAAACGACAACUUUGCCAAAGUUUUUGCGCUGGCAA
Long non-coding RNA from Sphaeramia orbicularis (orbiculate cardinalfish), 121 nucleotides. RefSeq lists it as uncharacterized. Lineage: Eukaryota; Metazoa; Chordata; Actinopteri; Kurtiformes; Apogonidae. The transcript is spliced from 3 exons. The record is from RefSeq and is a predicted model, not a curated record.